This is a long non-coding RNA of Glycine soja, 963 nucleotides long. RefSeq lists it as uncharacterized. The transcript is spliced from 2 exons. The record is from RefSeq and is a predicted model, not a curated record. NCBI's taxonomy places the organism in Eukaryota, Viridiplantae, Streptophyta, Magnoliopsida, Fabales, Fabaceae.
AAAGUUAAAAGCAUGACUGCUGCGACCUAGCCUUUGUUGGGGUGUUCUGUCAAAGUCCAAGACGGAGGUGGUCCUCCUUCUCUUCCCUCAAACACAGACACAGACACAAGAACAAGUUUGCAAGUCAUGAAAGCUCUAAUUUUAAUCCUCACGCUAUGCAGCUUCUCACAAGCAGCAACCUCCAUAGUCAGUCAACCCCAACCCAAAGAGUCUUUCAAGCUCAACCAAACCAAGCCACAGAAUGAUGAGGCUAGUAGUUCCUGUAGUUACACGGUGAGCAUAAAAACAAGCUGCAGUUCUCCCCCCUACACCAGAGAUUACAUCAGUCUUGCAUUUGGUGAUGCUUAUGGCUACCAGGUUCAGUUCCUACCUACGGAUACAUUUGAAAAAAAAUGAAUGAAUCCACUGCAGGUUUAUGUUCCAAGACUGGACGGUCCUCGUUCAGGAACAUUCGAGCGGUGCUCUACGGAUACAUUUGAGAUAUACGGUCCAUGUACGUACCAAACAUGUUAUCUGUAUCUAUACAGGACAGGAUACGAUGGUUGGAUGCCGGAGAAAGUGACCGUGUACAGCUAUUACUACCAGCCUGUUACAUUUUACUACAACACUUACAUACCUAAUGCUAUUUGGUAUGGCUUUGACUAUUGUAACGGUUAUUUACCCUCCACCUCAACUACUACUGCGCCGCAGUAGACACCCUUUUUAUCACUAAAUACUAUAAUCAAAUAAGUACAGGUCCACAUGUGAACCCUCAUAUGCUAUAUAGUGGACCAUCUAUUCAGUAUUCAAGUUUUUUUUUUUUUGGUCAUGAACUUUAGUCGUUACCAUGUGAUCUGUAAUUCGACGUUAGUACGUUACCAUGUGGUGAGAGACUUUUUUUUUUAUUUUUUAUUUAUAUCAUGGCGUGUUUCUUUUAUUUGGAAUCAACUCCUCUUUGUAUGCAUCGAGGAUGAUUAAAAGUUG